RNAcentral lists this long non-coding RNA (835 nucleotides) under Lathyrus oleraceus (garden pea). RNAcentral describes it as "Pisum sativum (pea) long non-coding RNA (PSAT_LNC028206)". The record is from RNAcentral. Lineage: Eukaryota; Viridiplantae; Streptophyta; Magnoliopsida; Fabales; Fabaceae.
AAAAAACAAAAGGAGGAGAGAACUUUUCUUGGGAGAGGUUGACAUUGAUGCCUGCUUUCUCUGAAAAAAAGGGUAACCUUCAAAAAGCUUCUUUCAUUUUUCUCUCUAAAAGUUUUUACCCUUAACCUUACCAACCAAAAUCGCCUUCCAAAACUGGCACCACCAUAUCCACACCUUAUCUCAUUCCUUUUCCUCAUUGUAUACCACAAACCUAUCAUCCCUGCAACCUUUCCUUCUCUCCAACAACCAAAAUUAUCUUCCAUUUUUCUACCAUCAACCUUGCCGCAACCACCUCUUAAUAACCACCAAACACCUCCAUUCGUUAACACCAUAACCCCUCUAUCGGUGAUCACAAUCUCAUACCUUCAACUCAACACUCACCUUCAUUCCCAUAACCACCACCAUCAACACUGUCGUGAACUCUAUCCUAGCUCUGGUGAACAACAACUAUACACCUUCUUCAGUUUGUUAACACAUUUAAACCCCUGCUACUUCAAACAACAACAUGGAAAUAACUCAGCUCCACCGUGAUAUUGCAAACAAACCACAUAAAACCAUCGAAAAGCACCUACACAAAUCUCAAUCUCCAAAUUCACAUGUACGCACCGCCCUCCACAACAACCAUCAUGUGAUUUCAAAUACUCUUUCCAUUAUCGUUAACACACUCUUCUCUUUUGUUAUUUCAUUCAUCACAAACAAAGUUAUGUGAUUUUGAAACUUAUGGUGCAGAUCAAUGAAAAGUCUAGUUUUUAUUUGGAUUUUCUAGUUCAGUAUGUCGUCAAUAAGAGUUAUUAGGAAGCUUCAUUUGAUGCAGCAUCAUGGUUGUUUAGCAAGG